GAAGAUGUUUAAGAGCAUGGUGAACCACGGGUGUCGGCCUAACGGUGAUUGUUAUUUCACCUUCAUUCACUAUCUUUGCAAGGGAGUGGAUUUCGACACCGCUUUGCAGAUUUGUAAGGAGAGUAUGGGGUUGGGUUCCGAAUUGCGGAACGACAAAGUCGCUAGUUAAUGGGCUGGUGAGUAUUGAUAAGGUCGAUGAGGCUAGGGAGCUUAUUAAGCAGGUGAAGGAGAGGUUUUCUAGAAAUACAGAUUUGUGGGAUGAAGUAGAAGCUGGUUUACCUCAGUAAUGAAGAUCAGAUGGUUUGCUGUUUUCAUUUGGUUUCAAUAAAAGCGCAGCUUGAUCUGAAAUGGGCAAACAUUGGUAUCAUGGAAGCCAGGUUUUACUUUUUUCAAAAUCGAUCAACUUCAGAGAUUCUCGAAUGAAAAGGCUGUCGGACAUCCUCUUAUCAUUCAUUAGGUUCUGGUUACUCUUGAUGUACGGACUAAAAGCGCAUGUGAGCUGAACCAACUUUGGGAAGAUGUCUUACCUCUCCCUUGGUGCAGGUUCAAGUACCAGCCUCCCUUUGAGCCACCUACCGUGAGUCUUAUGGUGCUACUCUCUGGUUGGUUAUUCACUGUUGUUUUUUUCGUGUUAGGGUAGCUGGGGAUUCCCAUAGGAAGUUUUUCCAGUGGAAUAGUGUGGUGUAUGUAGAGCAUCAAUCUGGAAGUUGACAUCACUGUUUGCUGUUUGUGUCAAAAUUGGAAAUGUGAUGGUUAUGGCUUCGAACCUUUUCAAUUCGUCCAUCCAUCCAGUUGAAGUCGCUUGGUCUUGAAGGAUAACCGAUGUUACCUAAGGCUUUUGUCUUGUUAGUGGCCAUACCAUAGCAUGUUGAUGAGGGAUUGUCAAAUCUUUUCAGUACCGCUUUGUUAAAUCAGAGAUUGGAUGACUGUUUUGCUGCUAGCAGAGGUGCCAAUGUAAUGUCCGUUCUUUGUUUGUUGCUUAUGUUAAUUGCUGGAGAUGCAGUAUGCUUUUCUUACUCUGAACUGUAAAUGCAUAUUAUCGAAACUACUUUUAGCCGAAAUAUACACCUUUAUCCUGAGAAGACACGAGCAUUGCUUCGAUGUACUCUGUGCUGGUGAGACGAUAUGAACUUUUGCCGCUCAAAGGCGAUUUAUGUGUUCGCAGUAUUGAGAAAAUCGAUUCAGUGUUUUGCAUCAGCAAAUGCCCUCAGCUAUACUUUCCACUCAUGCAAGGGAAAGAAGGAACUUUUUUUUCAUCAGGAGGAAAUCUGGGUGAAUUGAGGGUAAGUGCUUGGCAUAUAUCUGGGCAGAAGGAACAUGUAUCUCAAAUGUUCUCCAUAGAAAGGAGUCAAGCAACCAGAAGAAUUUCCAAUGAAUUGAACAGGAGAAAGAGAGUGCGAACGUCUGUGUUUAUGAACGCCGAUAGGCUUAAAAGAUUCCGAAAGAGAAUGACUUGGACAAUUGUCUUCCCUAAGACCUGUCAAAUUUGUCCUCAAGAAGAGUAUAAUUGAACCCGCGAUUCCCAUUUGUCCGAUAACUAUCUUUGACCUGUGCGACGGAGCAAAUGCUUGGGCGAGCUCAAAGCUCGCAUGGUGACGGUCAUAGGUAGCUCGAGCUUUGCCGGCCCCUCGGGUGAGCCACGAGCUCGCCAACUUGCUUUAUGGCCGGUCACUGGACUGCCGACCAUUGCUGAGGCAUGCAAAAAGAAAAAAGAAAAAAGAAAAGAAAUAUGAUGAAAAAUUCAAUUUCUUUUACAAAAGUUCCAUUAACAAAGGAAUUAAGGACCCUAAGACUAGGAAAAUAUUAAGGGGGAAAUUAUUUUCCUAAAUUUAAGUUUUACUAGGAAAAUCUUUCAUUUAUCUGGGCAAUUGUUGUCCAUUGAUUCAUUUUUCGAAAAUGUUUUCUAUGAAAUAAAUAGAUCGAAGAAAUGUUUGAGUUGGUAGUGUUGCUCAGGAUUUUUGGUAAAAUAAUCCAUAAAAAAUUAUACAUAUUUCUUACAUUUGGUUAUUGAAUUACUAUGCAUAAUUCUAUGUAACUCUGUGUUUGUGUUGACAUGCGCAAAGUAAUAUAUGUGGAGGAUUUGUACGGACAUUUUUAUGUGCAUUUUCAUUUGGGGGAUCAUCAGGCGUACGAGCCAGUCAAGAUAUUCGUGAACCACUUGUGUUGGACUCAUCGCCUAUUUGAAAUCUGCUCGAUUUUUUUUUUUUUUUUGAGUUCAAUUAUCUUGCCGAGUCAAAUUCGAGUCUAAAGACACUUGACUUGCUCCGGUCACGAGCCUAACUGAGUAUUUAAUUUUUUGUUGUGCUUUCUUAUUAUGGUGAUUGAUAAUGUAAAAUAUUCUUACAAUAUCACUUUUGCUAUGUAAUUGCCUUUCAGCCUCUUAUAUAUUUUUAAAGACAAAAUAAAAAGAGUAUUUCGAGCCGAGUUGAGUUUGAUUGAGUCAGAAAAAAUUAAGUACAUUGAUUUUAUACACGUAAAAGUGAGUCGAGCCAAGUCAGGCUCGAGGAUGCCGAGCUCUACACCAAGUCACGUUCAAAUAGGGAAUUAGGUACUUUAUUGAGUUCAAAGCUUCGAGUUUAUGAGUCUAGGAUUAUGUUGCCUUGGCUCGACUCUAUUGCAUCCUUUUUAUGGGAAAAAUGUCAAAAAAAAUUCUAAACUUUUGAGAAAAUUUCAAAUAAAAACCUCAAGUGUCAUUGUUUUCUCAAGUAUGAGCCUGAAGUGGACUUUUUGUUAAAUGAUGAUAUGAAGUGGCCAUGGUUAUUUUAAAUAAGAGCUUGCCCUCAUUGGUCACUGGUUGGCUAAAUAUUUCAAUUGGUUAAAGGGCGUUUUCAUAUAUAAUUUUAAUUUUAAGUCAUUUUUUGUUCUUUUUUGUUCUCUUUUCAUUUUCUUUUUUUCUUUCUAGAGAGGGCCGACGACCUCUCUAGAAACCGCUUGAACAAAAACGGGGGAAACUGGAGAAAAAGACAGCACGCAGAGAGAGAGAGAGAGAGAGAGAGAGUCGGAGGGGGUUCGCUCUCUCCUGCCGAGACAGAGGGAGCGACGAGAGACAAAGGAGGUGUUUCGCUCGCUCCCUCUCCCGCUCGCAUUCCGAUUCCGUCGCCGACGAUCUCCGGCCAGCUACGUCUCCGGUGAGUCCUCUUUUACGCACCUCCGAGGAUCCGAGCUCGGCGACGCUGGGGCAGCCGGCCGUCGGCCGAUUCUCUUCGGGCUCCCCCCCGUCGCCGAGCCCUUCCGUCCCGUCUCGGUUCAACCGGGGCGGAGGAUCCUCGUUCUUCGUUUCUUCCUGCCUGUUUUGGUUCGCGUUUGGGCCUCGAACGGCGAGUUUUGCUCCUGUCUGUCUGUCGAUGCAUGUCGCAUGCUCGGUGAAAUGCCUGAACUAGAUUUGUAUUGGUAUUCUCCCGUUCUCGUUCGUUCCUACGUACUUGAUGAUCGUUAGGCACGUUCUUGGGGAUUUUCAUCACAUUCUCUGCCUCGGUUGUGACUGGCUCGUUACGGUUUUUUCGACCGACCAAGGAGCGACGUCCCGAUCCUGAGGAUUAGCGACAUUAGUCAGUGGAGUCCAUUCCAUGGCUGCCGGUGGUGAGGUUUGGCCGGGCUUGACGUCGUCACCGGUCUGGUCGGGCGAGACGAGCGGGCUCGGGUGUGGGCUGGCCGAGACUUAGGGUUUUCCUGGGGCCUUGGGGUUGGGCUAGCCAAAUAAUAGGAAAGAGGUGGUCGACUGGGCUUGGAGUUUUAGAAAUUGGUGUGGGCUAAAAGAGGGAGAAGGAAUUAGUGGGGGGUUGGAUGUGGGUCUAGAAUAGGAUAUAGGAGGGCUGGGCUCAUGUGCGGAGCUCAAUCUGACUGAGAACCUAGACCAGUGAGACCUGGCUUCGGUUCCUGUCCAGACCCGGCCCAGAGACCCAAAUGUAGAAAUUUGAUGAGAAAGUUUCUUCUCUUGACCUUUUAGUGUAAUUGGUGCCUUGCUUGCUUGCACUUUGGUUGUUUUGCAUGUCUAAUUUGCGUAUUUAAUCACGAGUGUGAAUGUUUAGAUGCACAUGCUAUAUUAACUAAUACUGUUGAGGUUGAAAUGAGAGCUUGUACUCACUGUUCCUUAAGUUUCUGUGUUGCUUUUGGUUGGAUAUUGGAAUUAUAAAGAAUCUUUUCCGUGUCGUCAUCCGUGGUUAUGAUCAAGAGAGCUCUUAUUUUGUUUUAGUUUGUCAUACGUGGAAUUUGUUCACAUUGAAAUCCUUUAUUGGAUAGGAACUUUGAAUCUGCAUGAUUUGAACUUUUAAGGAAAUCGUGUUAGCUUGUUAAGUUUGCCUGGAGUUGUCUAAUGUUUAUUUAGUUUUCUUUGCCUGGAGCCAUGGAUAAAAGACGAGCUCUUGUGAUAGCUGGGCCCGAUAAAGUUUUGUGUUGGUAGAUGUGAAAGAUUGUGUGAUGUCCCUGAUCCCUUACUCCAUCAGGUACUUGGCUUCCUUGAAAGAACUCAUAGUGUCUUGUCGAGUAGAACCACGAUGAGUUGAGGUUACCCAAUAGAAGGCGUUUCUUGUAAUACGUGGAUUGGGCAUUGUCUUGUUGUGAUUUAUACCAUGUGAAAUCCUUCUCUUUCCAUACAUCAAGACGCUUCUUCCAUAUAUUCUGAGAUAAAAUUUGCCAAAAAUCGUAAGGUUCAAACUCUUGGAGUGAGCUUUGAUUUGCCGAUAAUAUCAGUAUUACGGUACCUUCAUGCGUGUUUAGGAGCGAAACCUUGACAGAAUUCUAUUUGGGAAUAGAGGACUUGCUUUCUUCUUCCAUUUGUUUUUCGGAUCUUACGACUUACUUUUAUGGAUGAUGGGUCAAUUGGAAGCCUGUUUUCAGUUCCUUGUCUUGAGGAUUUGUGUCUUUGAAAUUGUUGGCAUCUCAAAACCCUUACUGUUUCAAUUCUAAAUCUAUUGAGCUUGUUUAUCGAGCAAAAGACAAUUAAACCUAAGCUCGAGCUCUUUAGCUAUAUUGAUGGGCUUGUCUAAGUGUGCGAUACGCGAUGCUUAUGUGCUACGUGACGCUCAUUUGAUUUUGAGUGGUCCGGCCGAGGGGAUUUAUGCUUCCCGUGCACAUAAACUUCUAAAGGAUCUGUCUGCUACGAAAUGUCUUUUUCUCCUGAGGUAUAAUAUUAAUCUUAUUUCUUGUACUUUGGGUCGAAGCAUUGCAUUAUGUUUUGUCAGUCAAAUUAGUGUUCUCUGGAUCUAUUUUCAGGAGAUCAGUUUCUUCCUAAUCUUCUCUUGCCUUAACCUCUUGUCAUUCGACAUAUGAUAGAUUCCCUAUCAAUCCUUGCGAUGCUCAACAACUAUCCUUAUUUGGUCAGGCUUUUGUUUUGUGGGAUAACUAUUAUGUCCUUCUUAUUAUUUCCUCUGACUGAAUCUUGUGAUCAAAUGCGAAAGUUGAUUGUUAUGUAAUUGUCAAUUAGGGUUUGGUUGUGAACUUCAAAAACGACGAAGGAAUAUUGGAUCCGGCGCCCGAGUGCUUCUAAACGUCACUCAAGUUCAUCACGAUUGAAGAAUUUGAUGCCACUUAUUACCAACUUUUAGCCAUGACGAUCAUACUUAGGGCUGCCUAAGUUUUGCAGUAGAGGCUUCACAUAAUCUGCUUAGAGCAGAAGUCAGGGUCUUCUAUGGUAGAUCUUUUGGAAAGCGUUUAGCUCCUUUCGAUGAGCUCAGAUCAAUGUUUCAUUUCUCUGUGCCCCUAUGACUUUUAGCAUAUUUAGUUAGUUGAUGAGAUUCUUGAGUUAGCUAGACUACCGCUUCUUGAGAAACUUUAUUAGUUUUGCCAUAUGGUGAGCUGUAGUUUAGCUAUCUCAAGAGUCUCGUCAACUAACUGAAUGUGCUAAAAGUCAUAGGGGAACACUGACAUGAGACAUUGAUCUGAGCUCUUAGGAAGAAACUGAAUGCUUUCCAAAGGAUCUACCAUAGAAGCUCUCAGCCUUUGCAAAACUUGGGCAGUCCUAAGUAUAAUUGUCACGGCUAAGAGUUGGUCAUCAGUGGCAUCAAAUUCUUUAAUCGUGAUGAACUUGAGCGACUAUUGGAAGCAUUCGGUGCCGGGUCCAAUAUUCCUUCAUCGUUUUUGGAGUCCACAACCAAGCCCUAAUUGACAAUUACAUACCAAUCAAUCUUCGCAUUUGAUCACAAGAUUUAGUAAGAGGAAACAAUAAAAAUGAUAGAAUAGUUACCUCACAAAAAAAAAAGCUGACCAAACAAGGACAGAGAGCAUCGAAAGGAGUGAUAGGGAAUCUAACUUCAUUGUGUCAUAAGUGUCGAAUGACAAGAGGUUGAGGCGAGAGAAGACUGGGAAGGAACUGAUCUCUUGAAAAUAAAUCCAGAGAACACUAAUUAGACUGACAAAACAUAAUGCAAUGCUUCGACUCAAAAUACAAAAAAUAAGAUUGAUAUUAUACCUCAAGAAUGUAGUAAUGCAGAAAAAAGAUGUUCGCAGCAGACAUAUCUUUAAAAGCUUAUGUGCGCGGGAAGCAUAAAUUCCCUCGAUUGGAUCACCCAAAACCAAACGAGCGUCACGUAGCACAGAAUCAAACAAGUGCCCACCAAUAUAGCUAAAAAGCUUGAGCUUAGGUUUAGUUGUCCUUUGCUCGAUAAACCAACUCAAUAGAUUUAGAGCUGAAACAGGUUUUGAGAUGCCAACAAUUCCAAAGACACAAGUCCUCAAGACAAGGAACUGAAAGCAGGCUUUCGAUUGACCCAUCAUCCAUAAAAGUGAGUCCACUAAGAUGUAAGAUCCGUGAAACAAAUGAAAGAAGGAAGUAGGUUCCUCUAUUCCCAGAUGGAACUUUGUCAAGGUUUCGCUCCUAAACAAGUAUGAAGGUACCAUAAUGCUGAUAUUAUCGGCAAAUCAAAGCUCACUCCAAGAGUUUGAACCUUGCGAUUUAUGGCAAAGUUUAUCCAAGAGUAUAUGGAAUAUGCGUCUUGAUGCAUGGAAAGAGAAGAUUUCACAUGGGAUAAAUCACGACAAGACAAUGCCCAAUCCAUGUAUUGCAAGAAACGCCUUCUAUCAGGUAAUCUCAACUCAUCGAACACAAGAUUGGGAAGGGAUGCCCACAAGGACCUCCACCUACUCGACAAGACACUUGUUCUGAUGAGUUCUUUCAAUGGAAGGAAGCCAAGUAUGUGAUGGAGUAAGGAUCAGGGAGAUCACACAAUCUUUCACAUCUACCAACACAAAACUCUCCUUUAGAGUUAUCGGGCCCAGCUAUCACAAGAGCUCGUCUUUUAUCCAUGGCUCUAGCUAGUACUCAGGAGUCAAAGCUGACAGAAGGAAACUAAAUAAACAUUAGACAACUCCAGGUAGACUAAACAAGCUAACACAAUUUCCCAAAAAGUUCAAAUCAUGCAGAUUCAAAGCUCCUAUCCAAUAGAGGAUUUCAAUGUGAACAAAUUCCAUGCAUGACAAACUAAAACAAGUGCUCUCUUGAGCAGAAACCACGGAUGACGACAUAAGAGCUGAAUGCUUUCCAAAAGGUCUACCACAGAAGGUCCUAGCCUCUGUUUUGAGCAGAUUAUGUGAAGCCUCCGCAAAACUUAGGCAGCAGGUAUGAUCGUCACGGCUAAAAGUUGGUCACCAAGUUCAGGUGGCAAAACUAAUAGCUUGUUUUCUCUUACAUGUUCUGAAUGGUAAAAUUCAUUACAAAGAACUUAAGGUGAUCUUUUGGCUCAUCAUUAGUCAUUUUGGUUGUUCACUUUAAGCAGUAGAAUUGCGACAAUACAUGGAACUCGUAGCGUCGUUGUUAGAGCACAACAAGCUUGUUCAUGGCCUCUUCUUGAUUUCAGGAUAGUUUAUUUGCAAAUUCAUGCACUUGACUACUUCAUGCUUUUGUUUCCUUCUCUUGAUAUGAGAACAACUCGUAUUUCUUUGUGUGUGACAUUGCAAAUUGAAUUAAUUUAAUGUGGCCCUUCAUUUUAAGUGCAGGGCUAUGGCUGAACUAUGAGUUCUUAGACUAUUGGGGAAUCCUCGAGUUCCUUCCUGAAAUUUUACCACUAAACAAUCUUCACCAUUUGUCUUUGGCAAAUAUUAGGAUCAUGGCAGAUGAAAACCUAAGAUCAGUGAAUUGUAUGCUCUUGAUGUACACACUUAUCUUUGUGAUGUGAGAAGAAAUAGAUAUGUCCCAUUCGAUUGGAGUCCUUUCAUCGGAGAUUGGAGAAGGAACAUCAGGUAAAUUUGGUGUAUCAUAUUGCAUCAUGGAAUCCAUGGCAGUUUCCAUAUAAUCUAGGGUUAUAGAUGCAAAUCUUUGCUCUAUAACGGUUCUUAAUGUAGCCUGUUGAAAUUGUUGAGCAUCUUAGGUGUCGCACUGAUCGGCUUUGCAGCCUAGUUCGGAAUAUGUGAAGGAUAUCGUUCUGGCACAUAAAUAAAGGGAGGGAAGAAAGGGCCGGCCUUUAUAUGCGAGUAGAAUUUUUCAGUUCUACUUGCAAACUAUUCUUUAUGUGAAGAUAUGAACAUUUUUUCUUGAUGGAUAGCGAGGCCCUAUGUGGAAAGGGGACAGUUGACAGAAUCUGAUUGUGAUGGCUGCUGACGAGACUAAAAAGCCUUCAAGACAACUCUGGAAGCUUGUGAAGAAACAGUACCGAACUUCAUGGAAGAUCCCAAUUUGUCACGAUGUCAAUGCAUCACCGAUUUCUUCGUGAUUUGAGAGCAUAAGGACGAAGAGUGUGCAUGUGCUUUUGGGAUUCCAUUGCUUUGUCAUCGCUAGAGCUUAUUAGUAUGGUAUGGAAUACUCUCAGGGCAGGCAAUUUUGCAGCAUCAAUGAGGAGACAACCAUAGUUGGAGGAGCAAUGAGCUUGAGCAUGUUAUUUCGGCUGAAAUUAAAAAGGAAAAAAAAUUGCUUAGAAGUGAAGGAACUGAUGUGAUCAUAAGAUUGAGAUAAUGCGGAAAAGUUAUUGUAAGGGAAAAUGACAUAGAUGAUCUUUAAUCUUUGGUUUAAUAGGCGAUGUGGUUUCUGAAUUUUUAAUUUGCUUGAUGUAGUCUCUGAACUUUGGUCCAAUGUGCAAUGUCAUCCCUAAAUAUUAAAUUUCUUUAAUGUGACUCCUGAACUAUUAGUAAAAGAUCGAUUUAGUCUUUCACCUAUAUGAAGAUAUCUACUAUUGUUCUUUCGGUAAUUCAAGUUAAUGGAAUCUUUGUGUGGCUUCCGAUAUGUUAUAUUUGAAUGGUAGAUCUUAAAAAGGGUUUUGCAUGGAUUGUCCACCUAUAUCGUUCGUCUCAAAUCAAGGAAAGAAAUUGUCAUGUGUAAUAUUUGAAGUUCGUCAUUUGCUUAUUUCCUUUUCUAAAGUAAAUGGAUUAAAUGAUAGACAUGCUGACUCAUCAUUCAAGCAUGUCAUUUGAGCCAAGAGGAAAACCACAUUGAAAAUUUAUUACUAGUUCAAAAAUCACAUUUCACAUAUUAAAAAUUCAGAGACAAAAUUACAUGUCAAAUCAAAAUUCAUGGAUUGUUUAUGUUGUCAUCUCUUAUUGAGACAGGGCAGUCUCUUGCCAUUCUUCAUUUCAGCACAGAAAGCAUGGGUAAAAUGAUCUAUAUCGCAAGCCCGAUGGUAUUUAAUCAAAUCACAUCCCUACCAUGACACUCAUUACGAUGUUUCGCAAAGUGAAGUACACAUUAGUGGUCCACUCAUUGCAUGAGAAUACAUGCGUUUUUUUUGUGAGAGAGAGAGAUAGAGAGAGAGAGAGAGAGAGAGAGAGAGAGAGAGAGAGAUGUAAAAGAAGGAAGCAUGUAUCAGGAAUUUUCUGGAUUAUAAAGCAUGAAUGGUGCUUAUGAAAGUGAAAAAUUCAAGACGAACCCUGCUGAAAAGUAACUAUCCGAAGGCGCAUUUGCAGCCAAAAGAUUGGUGAAAGCUGUACCGCCUGGAAGUCUGUAAACUUUACAAUGUUUUGCAGUUCGCUGGUAAACAAUGGGUGAUUUCUCAUGUCAAGAGCAUCAAUUAUGAACUGCCCCACGCUGUGUACUUCGAGAAAAGAGCACCCGACAAAAACUUUUUGUUAUAAUCACCAGAAGAAGAGGACAUCCACUGACCAAAGCAAUCUUCAUUCACAAGCAUCCUCUCUCUAAUGCANNNNNNNNNNNNNNNNNNNNNNNNNNNNNNNNNNNNNNNNNNNNNNNNNNNNNNNNNNNNNNNNNNNNNNNNNNNNNNNNNNNNNNNNNNNNNNNNNNNNUGGUUGUGUGAUGACCGCUGGGAGAUCGAAUUUUGCAUUAUGGCAUGUUCAUUUAACGGUGGUAAUGCUCGUUGAACAACCAUUUCACUUACUAGCUCCUAGUGGUAUGUUUUUUUCCUUAGCCAAGCUAUUUUAGAAUUGCGGAUUGGAAAUCGAUACAGCUUGUGUUUACUUGCGUUAAAUGUACAAUGUUAUUGAUAUUUUGCUUCCUAGGAAUACGCGAGGCAGCUGCCCUUUAGUUAUCCUUCAUCGAUUUGACAAUUAAACCGGCUAUUUUCAUGAAGCAAUGACAUGUAAACGUUGAUAUCCUACUUUCAUUAAUAGCCUGUCCCUAGAUCUUCUGGUACUCUUUUCAAGAUAAUUAAAGUGAGCUUGUUCCGGGUGAUUUGCCUUUACUGUGGCUUGAGGUGAUUGGCGAUGGUGUUGUGCGGUGGUGGCGGUGGUGGUCGUUGAUGACGUUGAUCAGAGACACAGGUUGUUGGUAGCAAUGGCCUGAGUUAAUCCUGGGUUGCUUUAGUUUAGGUGUAUAUUUGUGUAAAGUUUUAGUAACCAGAUUGUUAAGCUUUAGUAAUUUGGUUAUUAGGCUUGAUAUGAGGUAAGUCCGGGAAUAAUGAGCAUGGGGAAGGAUAUUGUAGACGUCUUGAGAUGGAUAUUAGUAAAAAUGGGCUCGUUUUGAUUAAAGCAUAAUGCAUUCAAUAUUAGUCUUGGAUCUGCCAAAAGGAUAACGCAAAACCUCAUCGACCGACACUUGACCUUUUUCUUUAUUCAGAGCGUGCAUCAUGAUGCUAAACGAAAAGCAAGUUGCAGUCUUAUUCACGUCUUCAAUGCAACCGUCGAGUCAAAAUUAAGUCCUGAUUCGGGAAUCGACUUGACUACAUUUCUGCACCAAGGAUUCAUUACUGUUACCUCGAACGAUCAUAGCUCUUUGAAAGCAUUACCUAGGGUGGAUGAUUAGUAUCAUCAUCAUUCCAAUGCUUCAAUCCUUCCGGCGAUUCAAACCUCAUGAGGAGGUAAGUCUUAAGCGAUUCUUGGAAUAAAUUAUGGUUAUAAUUGGGUUGGGAGGCCCGGACCUUCAUCAUUUUCNNNNNNNNNNNNNNNNNNNNNNNNNNNNNNNNNNNNNNNNNNNNNNNNNNNNNNNNNNNNNNNNNNNNNNNNNNNNNNNNNNNNNNNNNNNNNNNNNNNNUAGCAAUUUGACUCGGUGGUCAUUUUCGAUCUCCAUGGCAUCGAAGAAUUUCUCAACUUCCUGGAACCAAUCCAAAAUGUCCUUUCGAUUGAUAUUGCUCGAGGUCUAGUCAACAUCCCCUGUUCUGAUGGCCUCCUUGAAUAAGCCCAUUUAGGAACUCGACAUAAGCUUGUUGCCUCUGUUGGGGUUUUGUCCCACAUUCCAUAAAUUACUUUCGAGACUUGAGCGGCCUGAGCACAUUCGGUCGAAAGAUUACUAGGUAUGAGUUGGUAAACAAACGCUGGAUGACGACAAGUCCUAAAGCCUCCAUUCGGUUUGCUAUGCAAAUUGGUAGAACUUAGCCCAUGUAAUAGGCUCGUUUUCACGGCGCUCAAUUGCGGGGAGAUUAUCAUUGAUGUUAUUGGUCAUUGUCACAGAAGAAACCUACUCAGCUACCAUAUGAUGCAGAGGAAGAUAUGCUUGGAAAAAGGAUUUCAAAGGUAGUGUUUAUUUUCAACAAUGAAGCGUGGAUCGCAAUGUUUUAAGUGAGUAUUUGUAAGGAGGUCGCCCUUUAAGAAAUAAUUAUAAUCAAAUAACGAAAUUAUGGAAAAAUAUUAGUAGAGGAGAAAGUCUACAAAACACGUCUUGAACAUCUACAAAAUAUGUCCGAAAUCUUUGACGGUCUGGAAAUCAAGGAAGACGUGAAUUUGAGAUCAAAUAUUGCCUAAAUCAGUAUAGCCCAUUCGCAACUUCGAAGCUCCCACAAUUUUCUUUGAUUUGUGAGACCGCCUACUCCUAUGGUGCUCGAAGAUUUCUGUAUAAGCAUUUGCCUGUUGUUCCACGUCACUGCCUCAUUUCAAAGCUAUAUAAAAAAGUGUCCAUCAGCUAAAACAAUGCAUUCACUACUUCAGCGUAGCCUUUUGUUUACUAGACGUUGAUCAUGAAUCGAGCAAGUAGACUAGACACGUACUGCAAUUCNNNNNNNNNNNNNNNNNNNNNNNNNNNNNNNNNNNNNNNNNNNNNNNNNNNNNNNNNNNNNNNNNNNNNNNNNNNNNNNNNNNNNNNNNNNNNNNNNNNNNNNNNNNNNNNNNNNNNNNNNNNNNNNNNNNNNNNNNNNNNNNNNNNNNNNNNNNNNNNNNNNNNNNNNNNNNNNNNNNNNNNNNNNNNNNNNNNNNNNNNNNNNNNNNNNNNNNNNNNNNNNNNNNNNNNNNNNNNNNNNNNNNNNNNNNNNNNNNNNNNNNNNNNNNNNNNNNNNNNNNNNNNNNNNNNNNNNNNNNNNNNNNNNNNNNNNNNNNNNNNNNNNNNNNNNNNNNNNNNNNNNNNNNNNNNNNNNNNNNNNNNNNNNNNNNNNNNNNNNNNNNNNNNNNNNNNNNNNNNNNNNNNNNGUUGCGACCUUUCAAGAAUCGCGGCCUACUCAUUUCUUUUUUUAAUCUUUUGAUUAAAUCUAAGUGGAAGUAUUUUUUAUUUUUUUAUUAAAGUAUAGUUUAGUUGUGGCAUGUGCAAUUCAAGAGGUCUCGGGUUUUCGAGUGAUUCUGAAAAUGGGUCUUAUUAACAAGAGUUCUGAGUAAGCUAAUUGAAAUAUUAAAAAUAGUAAAAACUCAUGUCGACAUAUUUCACGAGAAUUAUUGAAGUGAAGAGAGGUACGACGAAGCGAAGAAGAUGUUUAAGAGCAUGGUGAACCAUGGGUGUCGGCCUAACAGUGAUUGUUAUUUCACCUUCAUUCACUAUCUUUGCAAGGGAGGGGAUUUCGACACCGCUUUGCAGAUUUGUAAGGAGAGUAUGGAAAAGGGUUGGGUUCCGAAUUUCGGAACGAUGAAGUCGCUAGUUAAUGGGCUCGUGAGUAUUGAUAAGGUCGAUGAGGCUAGGGAGCUUAUUAAGCAGGUGAAGGAGAGGUUUUCUAGAAAUACAGAUUUGUGGGAUGAAGUAGAAGCUGGUUUACCUCAGUAAUGAAGAUCAGAUG
This 13283-nucleotide long non-coding RNA is filed under the name Eucalyptus grandis. RNAcentral's name for it is "long non-coding RNA (EGRA_LNC003345)". The record is from RNAcentral. Lineage: Eukaryota; Viridiplantae; Streptophyta; Magnoliopsida; Myrtales; Myrtaceae.